RNAcentral lists this long non-coding RNA (221 nucleotides) under Elaeis guineensis (African oil palm). Its description in RNAcentral is "long non-coding RNA (EGUI_LNC080856)". The record is from RNAcentral. Lineage: Eukaryota; Viridiplantae; Streptophyta; Magnoliopsida; Arecales; Arecaceae.
UAGUUCAUGAGCAUUAGGACUCUUCAUCUACCAUCAGAUUAGAUAGGAACCUCUAAUGUGUGUGACCCCGCAGGUUCGAUCCUAAGCUGGUAGCACAGGAACCAAUUUCUGUACUAAUCGAAGUGACCAUCUAGCAAUGGUACCCGAUAUCCAGAUAGGUCGAAUAGUCAUAAUCGCAACACUCAGAACCUACGUGAAUAUGGUUACUGUAUAAUUCAUCC